This is a non-coding RNA of Potamilus streckersoni, 73 nucleotides long. Lineage: Eukaryota; Metazoa; Mollusca; Bivalvia; Unionida; Unionidae. The record is from the annotation of a GenBank genome assembly.
GAUUCAGUGGCUUAAUGGUUAAAGCGUCCUCCUUGAAUGCGGGAGGUCAUGGGUUCUAACCCCGGCUGAGUCA